This 253-nucleotide ribosomal RNA is filed under the name uncultured bacterium. Its description in RNAcentral is "partial 16S ribosomal RNA". It matches the Rfam family "Bacterial small subunit ribosomal RNA", at positions 524 to 776 of the family's 1533-position model. The record is from RNAcentral.
UACGGGGGGGGCAAGCGUUGUUCGGAAUUACUGGGCGUAAAGGGCGCGUAGGCGGCCUUCUAAGUCGGACGUGAAAUCCCUCGGCUUAACCGAGGAACUGCGUCCGAUACUGAAAGGCUUGAAUCCGGCAGAGGGAGGUGGAAUUCCACGUGUAGCGGUGAAAUGCGUAGAGAUGUGGAGGAACACCAAUGGCGAAGGCAGCCUCCUGGGCCAAUACUGACACUCAUGCACGAAAGCGUGGGGAGCAAACAGG